AGAACACGUACCAACUAACUAUUGGUACCUUGACGGUACCUCACCANANAGCCACGGCUAACUACGUGCCAGCAGCCGCGGUAAUACGUAGGUGGCAAGCGUUGUCCGGAAUUAUUGGGCGUAAAGCGCGCGCAGGCGGUUCCUUAAGUCUGAUGUGAAAGCCCACGGCUCAACCGUGGAGGGUCAUUGGAAACUGGGGAACUUGAGUGCAGAAGAGGAAAGUGGAAUUCCACGUGUAGCGGUGAAAUGCGUAGAGAUGUGGAGGAACACCAGUGGCGAAGGCGACUUUCUGGUCUGUAACUGACGCUGAGGCGCGAAAGCGUGGGGAGCAAACAGGAUUAGAUACCCC
Molecule: ribosomal RNA, 349 nt
Filed under: Planococcus sp. (in: firmicutes)
Lineage: Bacteria; Bacillati; Bacillota; Bacilli; Caryophanales; Caryophanaceae
Description: bacterial SSU rRNA
Rfam family: Bacterial small subunit ribosomal RNA
Source: RNAcentral